Molecule: ribosomal RNA, 405 nt
Filed under: uncultured bacterium
Lineage: Bacteria
Description: partial 16S ribosomal RNA
Rfam family: Bacterial small subunit ribosomal RNA
Source: RNAcentral
GACGAACGCUGGCGGCGUGCUUAACACAUGCAAGUCGAGCGGAGCGGCGAACGGGUGAGUAACGCGUGAGUAACUGCCCCCCUCUCUGGGAUAACAGUUGGAAACGGCUGCUAAUACCGGAUAGUGGGGGAUGACUCGCGUCCUAUCAGCUUUUUGGUGGGUUAGUGGCCUACCAGCGCGACGACUGGUAGCCGGCCUGGGAGGGCGACCGGCCACAUUGGUCUGCGAGACGCACCAAACUCCUACGGGAGGCAGCAGUCGGGAAUAUUGCACAAUGGGGGAAACUCUGAUGCAGCAACGCCGCGUGCGGGAUGCCGGCCUUCGGGUUGUAAACCGCUUUCAGCCAUGACGCGGUAGUGGCAGAAGAAGCACCGGCUAACUACGUGCCAGCAGCCGCGGUAAUUC